RNAcentral lists this ribosomal RNA (344 nucleotides) under Klebsiella pneumoniae. Its description in RNAcentral is "bacterial SSU rRNA". It matches the Rfam family "Bacterial small subunit ribosomal RNA", at positions 1150 to 1493 of the family's 1533-position model. Lineage: Bacteria; Pseudomonadati; Pseudomonadota; Gammaproteobacteria; Enterobacterales; Enterobacteriaceae. RNAcentral also lists the same sequence under 1 other name. The record is from RNAcentral.
UGCCAGUGAUAAACUGGAGGAAGGUGGGGAUGACGUCAAGUCAUCAUGGCCCUUACGACCAGGGCUACACACGUGCUACAAUGGCAUAUACAAAGAGAAGCGACCUCGCGAGAGCAAGCGGACCUCAUAAAGUAUGUCGUAGUCCGGAUUGGAGUCUGCAACUCGACUCCAUGAAGUCGGAAUCGCUAGUAAUCGUAGAUCAGAAUGCUACGGUGAAUACGUUCCCGGGCCUUGUACACACCGCCCGUCACACCAUGGGAGUGGGUUGCAAAAGAAGUAGGUAGCUUAACCUUCGGGAGGGCGCUUACCACUUUGUGAUUCAUGACUGGGGUGAAGUCGUAACA